This 784-nucleotide long non-coding RNA is filed under the name Homo sapiens (human). RNAcentral's name for it is "non-protein coding lnc-MCM3-3:1". Lineage: Eukaryota; Metazoa; Chordata; Mammalia; Primates; Hominidae. The record is from RNAcentral.
GGACCUGUGGGAAUGAGGUUGAAGGUGCAUAGUGGCGGGGGGUUUUAAGGGCGGCGAUGGACGGAGACAGGUUAUGAUGUGAGAGAACGAGCUAGGGAGAGGGCCCAGAGAUAGGUUGGGAGUAGGGUGGGGGAAACAGUGAUCUAAAGGGACAAGAGGCAGGGGCUUGGAGGAGCAGGGCCGUAAGAAAGAACGCGGCUAACGGGAUGAGAAUGAAGGCGCCAACACACUGCCAAGAUGGAGUGGGAAAAAACUAGAGAGGGAUGAGGCGGAGGGCAAAGGAUCGGAGAGAGGGGAUGAGGAUGGCUAGGGAAGAACGGCAGAAGUUCGGCCCAGAAUAAAGAACAGGGUCAGGACAGAAGACGUGUUUGGAGAGAAGACAGACUUGAGUGGAGGGGAAUGGAGGUGCACUGAGCGGGGAAACCUCCUGGGCUGCUGGAAGGUGGGGACAGGUGGGAGUCUGGCAGAUAACUGCUCACCGUAGAGUCCUUAAAGGACGUGCCCGGAAGAAAGGGCAAGCCAUGCACGGGAUUGGACACCAUUGCAGCCGGUACCACCGCCGCCACCUAGGUCCUGCUUCGUCCUCUCCGGUUGCCCAGGCGACAAGCAGUGUUCGCGGGCACCUCCAGGAUCCAUGGUAACGCUAAACAUCCGGAACUCCCACGAGCGGAAGGCGGGGCCAGGAGGCGCAGGCAUCACAGGAGGUUUGCGCGUGCGCCAUCCGCAGGACUCCGCGUUCUCGCGAUCUCUUUUUACUUCUUUGGCUCCUCCGCUGGACUGUAAG